Molecule: ribosomal RNA, 468 nt
Filed under: uncultured bacterium
Lineage: Bacteria
Description: partial 16S ribosomal RNA
Rfam family: Bacterial small subunit ribosomal RNA
Source: RNAcentral
GACGAACGCUGGCGGCGUGCUUAACACAUGCAAGUCGAACGGAAAGGCCCUGCUUUUGUGGGGUGCUCGAGUGGCGAACGGGUGAGUAACACGUGAGUAACCUGCCCUUGACUUUGGGAUAACUUCAGGAAACUGGGGCUAAUACCGGAUAGGAGCUCCUGCUGCAUGGUGGGGGUUGGAAAGUUUCGGCGGUUGGGGAUGGACUCGCGGCUUAUCAGCUUGUUGGUGGGGUAGUGGCUUACCAAGGCUUUGACGGGUAGCCGGCCUGAGAGGGUGACCGGCCACAUUGGGACUGAGCUACGGCCCAGACUCCUACGGGAGGCAGCAGUGGGGAAUAUUGCACAAUGGGCGGAAGCCUGAUGCAGCAACGCUGCGUGCGGGAUGACGGCCUUCGGGUUGUAAACCGCUUUCGCCUGUGACGAAGCGUGAGUGACGGUAAUGGGUAAAGAAGCACCGGCUAACUACGUG